This 992-nucleotide long non-coding RNA is filed under the name Elaeis guineensis (African oil palm). Its description in RNAcentral is "long non-coding RNA (EGUI_LNC025274)". Lineage: Eukaryota; Viridiplantae; Streptophyta; Magnoliopsida; Arecales; Arecaceae. The record is from RNAcentral.
CGAAUUACAAACACUUUAGCCUUAUGACAAGUUUUUAUUCUUAGUAAAAAGGCAAAUAAUCCUAUCAUUCUAAAAGUAGAAGCAACUUGUUCAUGCAUUAUACACCAAGCUUCAAAGUGGAUGAGAAAUUUAUGAUCGUUUCCUCAUAAAACUGAGCCAGUAUCACAAUAUAAUAGGCAACAAAUAUAUUGCCCAUCUUCUUGUUUUAAUUUGAUCAGUGUAGAGGGGCAUAAAGGAAACUUGAUCUUAUUAUGUUGGCUAAUGUCAUGUUCUGAAUGAGUAGUUGUAACUCGUAAGGUCAUACUGAGAAUUUGACUAUGAAGCAGAAUUACAGACGUAUGUGCUAUGGUGGGAAUUCAUAUGUCAGGCUACUAGCAGCUUGAGAGAAGACAAAGUCUGUAGAUUUCUGUGUUUAUCAACAGUAGGAAAUAUUUAAUGAGGGGAAGGGUGCGAACUUAUCCGCCCAGAGGACAAAGCUAUAAAAUUUGGCACCUCUUGAAGCCACCUUCAACAGCUUCCACACCAUCAUACCUCUUCCCUCCUUUUUCUCGCUUCCUCCCUUCCCUUCUCCUUCUACAACUUCCUUCUUUUGUUGCUCCUCUCCUUUUGAAACUCCACCUUCUCUUCACCUCCUCUUGCUUCUUUCUCUUCUUUCUCAUCCCUCUUUAGGAGGUUCCUUUGUUACCCCCGUGGCAGAUUCUUUACCCUCUUCCUUUGGCGGCCUCCUCCUCUGCUUUCUCAUCAGCCUGGCCAAUGAGGGAACGGAACUUUGGGACUUCUAUGCUUUCUUCUCCUCUACCACCACUUCAACCACCUUGGGCUCUUUGGAAGGUGGUUGUCCCUGUUCCCUUCCCCAUCCUUGACUGAGACCUGAAGGGUCUCCCCAACCACCUUCUACAAAUCUUGACGAGGUUCCCACCGCAGGCGCAUUGGAACCAUCUCUGUCGUUAAUUUCUUAGAAGGGUAAGAAUUUUGGUUAUGGGAACACAGCA